GGGAGGGGAGGCAUAUCAGUGCAACACAGCCUUACUGGAUGAGAAGCAGCAGUAACACUAGCAGCAUCUCAUUUGUGGCUGCUGGGGGCUCGGUCUCACACACACAGGCGCUCCCAGCGCCACCGUCACACACACGCAGUGGCAGCCACAGCCGUCGUUAGAGCCUGGGCUGGGGCAGGGACGGGGACCGCUACUGUGACGACUGGAGCUACGGCGAUAGCAGCUGCUGCACCAUGGCACAAGCCGCCAAGCAGCUACGCAAGAACAAGGACCUAGCGGAGCUCGCAGCUCAGGAGCUGAAGGAUAAGGAGGAGGAGAAGAACAAGAAGAGGAAUCGAUCGAGGGACCGAAGACGCAAGAUCUUCUCAAGCUCUGUCAGGUUGGAUGGGGAGCGUCGCAGAACAGCUAUUUUCAGGUCUCCAGAGAUGUUCGAUCGGGUUCAAGUCCGGGCUCUGACUGAGCCACUCAAGGACAUUCAGAGACUUGUCCCGAAGCCACUCCGGCGUUGUCUUGGCUGUGUGCUUAAGGUCGUUGUACUGUUGAAAGGUAAACCUUCACCCCAGUCUGAGGUCCUGAGUGCUCUGGAGCAAGCUUUCAUCAAGGAUCUCUAUGUACUUUUCUCCGUUCACCUUUCCCUCGAUCCUAACUAGUCUCCCAGUCCCUGCCCCUGAAAAAACAUCCCGAUGCAUGAUUCUGCCACCACAUUCCUUCACCGUAGGGAUGGUGCCAGGUUUCCUCCAGACGUGACGCUUGGCACUCAGGUCAAAGAGUUCAAUCUUGGUUUCAUCAGACCAGAGAAUCUUGUUUCCUAUGGUCUGAGAGUCCUUUAGGUGGCUUUUGUAAAACUCCAAGCGGGCUGUUCCUUUUACUGAGGAUUAGCUUCCAUCUGACCUGACCUGAUUGGUGGAGUGC
Long non-coding RNA from Oncorhynchus tshawytscha (Chinook salmon), 912 nucleotides. The record is from Ensembl. Lineage: Eukaryota; Metazoa; Chordata; Actinopteri; Salmoniformes; Salmonidae.